AUAUACACAUAAGUACAUACACAUACACCGUGUUUCUGUAAAUGUGUUUAUAGCUUUACACGUGCCUCUUACCCCAUCCCCUCUUCUCACUUUAUUUUAUUUUAUUUUUUUUUUUUUUUAUUUUAUUUUAUUUUAUUUUUUUUUUUUCAUACUUAAUACGAAGUUGCAUGAAUGUAAAAAAAAAAAAAAAAAAAAAAAAAAGUUAAUAAAAAAAAAGAAAAAAAAAAAAUGUCAUAUUCUAGAUCAGAUGCUGAUCCUAUUAAUAUUUCAUGUCCUAGGUUGAUUCCCAAAAGUGACGACUGUAGUCUUAAACCCAUAAGUAACAUAAAUUAUACAAAAAAUGAUACAGGUAAUAUAGAUAUGAUACAUUCGUUGAGUAAUCAUGAGCUGAAUGAUUAUGUUAGUAAAAUAAAUGCAAAAGAAAUAAAACAUACAUAUAAACCUAAUGAACAGGACAGUAGUAAUAAUAGUAAUGGUAAUAAUGUUAUUGUUAAAAAUAAAAAUAAAAAUAUGUUUCAAACGGUACUACUACAACAUGGUCAACCUGAAAUAAAUAAAAAUGUAAAUAAUGAUACAGAUAUUAAAAAAGAAUUUUCACAAAUAAAUAAAGACGGUGUUAAGAAUUCAAUUAACAAUGACCAAUAUGUUAAUAACUAUGCAUAUGGAAAUAAUAAAAAUAUAGACAGUAUGCACGCGGACAUUUAUAAUAAUAAUUUUUAUAACAGUUAUAAUAUUGUAAAAAAGGAAGUAAGCAUGCGUGAUAAUUAUGGAUCUAACUACAAACAGAAAGACACUGAAACGCUAGAUAUGUUGUUCAACUCAAAUAGGUUCAAAAUAAAAAAGGUAAAUGCUGUUAGUACUACAAAGAAUGACACUACUGGUGCAAGCAAUGAUAAUAUAAACAACAUGAACAGUAGUAAUAGUAGAAAAAAAAACUUAACCACUUUUAUUCCUUUAGAUAAAAUAAUUGAAAGGCGUGACAUGAACAAUUUAUUGUCAGAAGAGCAAAUUAAUAAUUUAUAUAAUCAUCAAAAUAUAUAUGAUAUGAGACAAAACAGAAAUGAGCAAGAUAACAUAACAACCUUACAUGGUCAGGAUAAAAAUACAAAACCUGUUACAAAUUUCAAUGCCCAUUCUAAUUAUAUAGAUAAAGUACCUUACAUAUCUAAUGAUAGUAUAUACAUAAAUAAAAAAAAUAAUAUGUAUUGUAUGGAUAUGGGUAUGGAUCAUUUAAACAAAGGUACGAAUGUGGACAAAAAAAAUAUGUACGAAGGAAAAAAUAUGUACGAAGGAAAAAAUAUGUACGAAGGAAAAAAUAUGUACGAAGGAAAAAAUAUGUACGAAGGAAAUAAUAUGUACGAAGAAAAUAAUAUGUACGAAGAAAAAAAUACGACUAGCCAUAUUAACCCACGUGACAAAGAACAAACAGAUGUAUUAUAUAGUAACAAUAAUAUAUACAAUUAUGAACAGGACAUACAAAAAGAUAACAAAAAUAUGUAUCUUAAUAAUAAAAAUAUGUAUAAAGAUAUACAAAUGAAUAGAGAAAAUGACAGAAUAUACAACGAACAUAACGAGUUAAACAAACAGAUGAACCAUUAUAGACAUGGUCCACCUUACAUGUACAAACGUAGCAACGACAAGAGUGACAUACAUAUAAAAGAUGUACUCAAAAAUGAUAAUAACCAAUUCAAUCAUAACUACAUCCGUGAUAAUGAUUCAUACACUCAUGGUAACAAAUAUAACCGUAAUAAUAACUAUAACAGUAGUGAAAAUCUAUUCGAGAUGUAUGAUUCUAAAAAUAACAAAAAAAUUAUUUAUUGUUCUGUCAAAAACCAUUAUAAUCCUACUAAAGAAAAUGAAACUGAUAAUAAAAAAAAAAAAGAUUUUCAAAACAUAGUUUAUGAAAAUGACAUAUAUGAUUAUUUAUUAUACCAAUAUGAAAAUAAUUAUAAAAAUUUUGUUAAUUUGAAAUCACCUGAACAAAGUAUUAUAAACCAACAAAGCCAGUCCAUAUUUCCAAAAAUAAACGCACCACUUAGUAAUGCUGUUGCUUUAAAAGUGGAUAAUGAAAAAAAAGAAAAAGAAAAAGAACAAGAAACAGAACAAGAAAAAGAAAAAGAAAAAGAAAAAUAUUAUAAAACAGUAGAAUCGACCGGACUUACAAAUAGUAACAACGUUAAUAUGUAUUUUAAAAAAAUAUUGAAAAUUUUAGAUUAUAAUAACAUUGUUAAAAAGCAAAAUACGGAUGUAUCCAAGUGUAAUGAUGCUGUACAGGUUGACAAUGUACAUAAAACAGAUCCCACACAAAGUGAUGCUGUUGAUAUAGGUCAAAAUCCCAGUGGUAGAAGUCUUAGUGAUAUACGCCCCACCGAUUCUUACAUAAAAACAAAAUCAGAAGCAACAGAGGUCCAAGUCGAAACAAUAAAAAAACAAGACGUAUUCCACCGUAGUGCUAAAAAACUAAUUUUAAAAGAUAAUGAUGUUACAGAUUUAUACAAAUGUAUUAAUGAAGUAUAUACGGAAGAACCCAAGUUGUUUCUAUAUUACGAUAAACAAGAUGCUGUUAAUGUUAAAAAAGAAAGAUCGAAUAAAAAAAAAACUAACAAAUGUAAUUUAAUGCAAAUAAACAAAAGUUUUAAACAUAUAUUUAAAAAAAUGAUUUAUGAAAAUACAGUAGUUAUUAGUAAUAUAGGUGAAAAAACCGAUACUGUGACAUUUUCAUAUGAUAUAAUUAAUAUGAAGAACCAAAAUAAUCCUUUUUGUUUUGAUUAUAAUAACAAACAGACUGAUGGUAUUUAUUCUUAUAUUGCAGCUAGUCAUAACAAAAUUAACUACAUUUAUUUGAAUUACGAGUUGUCCGUUUUGGAGGGUAACAGCGGCAUGAUUAGUGGUGCUGUGGUUGGUGGUGCUGUGGUUGGUGGUGCUGUUUCUAGUGGUAAUGCGUCUAGUGGUAAUGCGUCUAGUGGUAAUGAGUCUAGUGGUAAUGCCUUUAGUUAUGAUACGGCUAGUGGUGACGCAUUUAGUAGUAGUACAACAAUGAACAAUAACACAACACAAAGCAAUAUAAUUAACAACCACAUGACAAAUCAAACAGGCAAAACUGGUCAAAUAAUAAAAAGUAACAAACAUAUCGAAACAAAUAAAUUUUUAACAUUUUCUUUUUAUUUUUCAAACAUCAUUAUGAUUCACAUAAACAGCAAAAAUUAUGAAUCUACACUUUCAUUAAUAGCUAGCUAUUAUGACAUCAUUCAGAACAUUAAAAAAAAUAUAAAAAAUAGGAAAAUAAAACAACAAAAAAGGAAACAUACGGAAGUGUAUACAGGGCAAUCGCCAUUAUCAUUACCUACGGAUAAUAAUAAUAUAACAUUUAUUGAUAAAGGAACACACAAAAAAAAAAACAAAAAAGAACGAACAAAUAAACAAACACAUGAAAAAACGAUAGCGCACAGAAAAAAACGUACAACCAUUUCUUUGGCCUCACAAAAAACAUCCAACUUAGAUAGCGAUAGAUUAUACAAAAAAAAUAAUCCCAACGAAGAAAACAUACAAAUUCCAUAUUUUCUAUUCGUUCUAACACAUGUGGAUGUAGAAAAUAUACUACUAAUGAAAAAAGAAACAAAAAAGACGCAAACUAAUAAUGUGAUUAAAAACGUAAAUAAUAAUAUUAACAACAAAGGAACAAAUUGUGAACAAUCGGUCAUAAUGAAAGGUAUGAAUGUAUAUAAAGGUGAAGGUAAAACAAGUGGACAGUUAACAGGUGAACAUAAAGAAAAGGGACAAAAAAAGAUAAAAAGAAAUAAAAAUAGGAAAGCUUAUAAAAACAAGGACGUACAAAAAUAUUUGUAUUUUUUAAUAAACAAAAUGGAUAAUGUCGUGAUAAAAAAUAAAAUACACUUAUUUUUGAAAUCUUUGAAAAAAAAAAGUUUAUUUUGUUUUUUGUCCGAAGAUAAGCAAAAGGAAAUAGUUACUCGGGAUUUUUUCUCUACUCCUACUUCCGCUCCUACUACUACUCCCGCUCCUACCACUACUCCCGCUCCUACCACUACUUCCGCUUCUGCCCCUACAAGUACAUGGCUAGAAUUACAAAAAAUAAAAAAAAAGUUGUAUACACUAGGAACCAACAUAGAUUAUAUACAUAAACAUAAUGGGGUUUACAUGUAUAAAUAUUUAAAUACGCUUAUAUACAUAAUUAACAAUAAUAUAUAUUAUAGUCCUAACUAUUUAAAAACAAAAAUAGAACACGUUUCUUGUCAGAUGUUACAUACUGCACUUACAAAUAAUUUUAUAUUGCAUUUACAAAACAAAAUUGAAAAAAAAUUACCAAUGAAACCUAAUUUGUUUUUAAAUAUUGUAAACAAUUUAAAAAUCGAAUUUAUUUUAUCAUAUGAAAGACAUGCUAUGGGGGAUUUCGAAAUAAAAAAAAAAUACAAAACACAGUUAUGUAAUAAUAUUGAUACGAUUAUAUUAAAGGCUUAUAAAGAAAAUAUAGCAUAUAGUUGUUUUACUUAUUUUAAUAUUAUAGAUAAAAAAAUAAAAAAAUUAAAUAUAUAUAAAAAAAUUAAUAGUCAUAAAUAUGAUCAUUUUGAACAACUGUUUAAUGACAUGGAAAAAAUUAGUGAUAAACCGAUUGAUAACUUAAUAUACAAUGAAAUAUUGAGUAUCAAAAAAGAAGAAAUCAUGACUUAUUUUAUUAAGAUAAAUUACAGUUAUGGAACUGACAAUACCAAUGCCAAUCCUAGCAUACUUACCACCUCCACAAAAAAAAGUAAAUCACAACUCAGUGACUCAAAAACUACUGGUGCAAAAACCGUUGACUCAAAAACUAUUGGUGCAAAAACCGUUGAUUCAAAAACCGUUGAGCCAAAAACAAAUAAGUCAAAAAAAGACCAAUCCAAAUUGGGUAAGGGAAAAGGAAAAAUGGGUAAAACGAAUACGCCCGAUCGAAUUAAAAACAAUGUCAAUAACCACUUUUUAAACAAUACAAAUUUAUACACUGACUCGAAACAAAAACAUCAGGAAAAAGAAAAAAAUAACCACAUGAUAAAACAACAACAACAACAACAACAACAAGAUGCAGCACUGUUGAAUUAUAAAAAAUAUGACAUAACAUAUGAAGAAGAGUUUGAAAAAUUUUUAAGUAGAGCAUAUUCAGAUGUAGGUAACACGGAAAGUAAACAAGAUACACAAGAAACGGAAUCAAAAAAAGAAAGCAAUUAUCAUGAACAAGUUAAUAAUUUUAUGUGUACAUUUAAAAACUACAAUCAGAACGAUAAAAUAUUUUUUAAUACUUUAGAUAAUGGCAACGGAAGUAGUAAAAAAGGCAGUAGUAACAGUAACAGUAACAGUGGUAGUAGUAACAAAAAUAACAACAACAGUAAUAACAACAGAUGUAGCAACAUUAUCAACGAUUUUAAUAACCUAACACAGGGACUUACACUAUCGCACAAACCAACAACACAUUCACACGUAACGGACGAACAAAACCAAAAAAAUGAAGAAAAAAAUGAAGAAAAAAAUGAAGAAAAAAAUGAAGAAAAAAAUGAAGAAAGAAAUGAAAAAAACAAUGAAGAAAAAAAUGAAGCAUAUAAACAAAUAUAUAACGAUAUAAUUAAUAACUACAUGAUAGAUCAAAACAAAUGUAGUCUAGAGACAACAUUGCUCAAUUUUAACGACACCAAUACGUUUACAAAUGAUUUUUCAAAAUUUUCACUGGUGUUUAAUAAUAAUAAAAAUAGUAAUGGCAAUGGUAAUAGUAAAGAUAAUGUCGAUGGUAAUGUCGAUGAUUUAUGACAAACUAAAAAAAUAGACUUGACUAACAAUACUGAAGAUGUAGUACAAGUCAAGUGCUUAAUAAAUAUUAAUACUUCUUAUAUACA
Piliocolobus tephrosceles (Ugandan red Colobus) is the source of this 5876-nucleotide long non-coding RNA. NCBI's taxonomy places the organism in Eukaryota, Metazoa, Chordata, Mammalia, Primates, Cercopithecidae. The record is from Ensembl.